Molecule: long non-coding RNA, 674 nt
Organism: Nerophis ophidion (straightnose pipefish)
Lineage: Eukaryota; Metazoa; Chordata; Actinopteri; Syngnathiformes; Syngnathidae
Exons: 7
Source: RefSeq, a predicted model, not a curated record
CAAACCCACCAGUGGAACGUGCAUCCAGCCGGCUCAGGCCUUCCACCCGGAGCGUUCCAGUAAAAUCCCCCUCGUAACAUUCCUCUCGGCGAGCUAGGUAAACACACAAGAGAAUCCACAUCUCCAAGGAAGCCAGGAGGAGCGCAGGCCAUGCACAGGCACGGAGGCGGACAUGGCUUUUUCCCGCCGGAUAACGUUCAGGGUCAAAUCACUGGAGAUCGAGUGAGUUCUCUCUCUGUUGAGAAGUUCGCUUGUCUUUCACCUUUCCUCAGUGGGACGCAAACACAUGAAGGCUUGCGUGUGCUGAUGGGAUCCACGGAGCCAAAAAAGCCUCCAUGGAAUACACGUUUAUAAUCUGAGGAAAACAAGAAGUCAAUUUGGCAUUGAUUCUGGAUAACUAGCUAAAGUUACAGGCUACAGCAACAAAACGUCAACAUCACUCACCAGGCUGCAGCCCAGCACUUUGAAGAGGAGGCGGGAGAGCCAUAAAGCGGGAACGUUUCAGCCGAGGCUUAAACCGAGCCUCCCAGCGGAAUGAAAGAGGCCAUGUGUCUGAAGAGGUCGUCACUCGGGGAAAACAGAGCUGGGUGUUUGUUGUCACGUGUGGGUCGCAUUUUACUGCGGGAUCGUUCCUCCAGUGCAAACAUGGACACUCCGGACAACAACGUGAAGGU